This 479-nucleotide ribosomal RNA is filed under the name uncultured bacterium. Its description in RNAcentral is "bacterial SSU rRNA". It matches the Rfam family "Bacterial small subunit ribosomal RNA", at positions 330 to 801 of the family's 1533-position model. The record is from RNAcentral.
UGCGAACUCCUACGGGAGGCAGCAGUGGGGAAUUUUGGACAAUGGGGGCAACCCUGAUCCAGCAAUGCCGCGUGAGUGAAGAAGGCCUUCGGGUUGUAAAGCUCUUUUGUCAGGGAAGAAACGGUAGUAGCUAAUAUCUAUUACUAAUGACGGUACCUGAAGAAUAAGCACCGGCUAACUACGUGCCAGCAGCCGCGGUAAUACGUAGGGUGCAAGCGUUAAUCGGAAUUACUGGGCGUAAAGCGUGCGCAGGCGGUUGUGUAAGUCAGAUGUGAAAUCCCCGGGCUCAACCUGGGAAUUGCAUUAGAGACUGAACGGCUAGAGUGUGUCAGCGGGGGGUAGAAUUCCACGUGUAGCAGUGAACUGCGUAGAUAUGUGGAGGAAUACCGAUGGCGAAGGCAGCCCCCUGGGAUAAAACUGACGCUCAUGCAAGAAAGCGUGGGGCGCAAACAGGAUUAGAUACCCUUGUAGUCCAGAUG